Molecule: unclassified non-coding RNA, 496 nt
Filed under: uncultured fungus
Lineage: Eukaryota; Fungi
Description: partial contains small subunit ribosomal RNA, internal transcribed spacer 1, and 5.8S ribosomal RNA
Rfam family: 5.8S ribosomal RNA (bases 448-496)
Source: RNAcentral
UCAAACUUGGUCAUUUAGAGGAAGUAAAAGUCGUAACAAGGUUUCCUCUAGAAGAAAAACACCUAUAGAAGCCUUGAAUGUCCAGUCUACCUUCUGUUGUAGGCAACAUCUUCACUGUGCUUGAAUACCCUUAGGGUUACAAUCAGCUGCUGAAGCAGUUCACAGAUCAGACGAAGGUGGUCCAAGAGUAACCAGCAUGGUCUUGGAUUCAGAUAUGACCGGCCUAUACCUGAAAGGGUAGUAGACCACAGUGUUCCGUAGGUGAACCUGCGGAAGGAUCAUUAUAGAGAACCUGCCCUUUGGGUAGAUCUCCCACCCUAUGCUUACAAUACCUUUGUUGCUUUGGCAGGCCCGUCUUUCUGACCACUGGCUUCGGCUGGUCAGUGCUUGCCAGAGGACCCUAAACUCUUGAUUUUAGCAUUGUCUGAGUAUUGUAUCAAUAGUUAAAACUUUCAACAACGGAUCUCUUGGUUCUGGCAUCGAUGAAGAACGCAGC